CCGGCGCACGGGUGAGUAACACGUAUCCAACCUGCCGUCUACUCUUGGACAGCCUUCUGAAAGGAAGAUUAAUACAAGAUGGCAUCAUGAGUUCACAUGUUCACAUGAUUAAAGGUAUUCCGGUAGACGAUGGGGAUGCGUUCCAUUAGAUAGUAGGCGGGGUAACGGCCCACCUAGUCUUCGAUGGAUAGGGGUUCUGAGAGGAAGGUCCCCCACAUUGGAACUGAGACACGGUCCAAACUCCUACGGGAGGCAGCAG
This 259-nucleotide ribosomal RNA is filed under the name uncultured bacterium. Its description in RNAcentral is "partial 16S ribosomal RNA". It matches the Rfam family "Bacterial small subunit ribosomal RNA", at positions 95 to 354 of the family's 1533-position model. The record is from RNAcentral.